UACUCUAUCCAUUUGGAGUAAUCCUACCAUAGACCGCUUAACUGGUAACGGUUUCGUUGGUGAGCCUAUGGGACAAUACAGAAAAUCUAACAGCCUAAGUUGGACGUACUG
Molecule: non-coding RNA, 111 nt
Organism: Peptoanaerobacter stomatis
Lineage: Bacteria; Bacillati; Bacillota; Clostridia; Peptostreptococcales; Filifactoraceae
Source: Rfam